AAAAAGUUUUAUUUUGUCUUAACUUAUUAAUAAUUAUUUUUUUUGUAUACUAAUAUUUUUUAAAUAGUUUUAUUUUGUAGUAAUUAGUUUUAAUAAAUUUAGGAAACUAAGAUUUAGAAAUUUGGUUUAGUAUUGACAAAAUUUGUGCCAGCCGUAGCGGUUAAACUUAUAAUGCAAUUAAUAAUUAUUGAUUUGUAAUAAAUUGAUUUUAUUUAUUUUAAAUAUUAUUUUUUUUAGGUGAAAUUUUAAAAUUAUUAUUAAAUAAUUUAAAUAUUAUGAUAUUAUUAAAUUUUAAAAUAGACUAGGAUUAGAUACCCUAUUAUUAAAAUGUAAAUUUUUAAAUCGUAUUAGUAUUAGUUAUAUUCUUGAAAGUAGAAAAAUUUGGCGGUAUUUUAGUCUAUUUAGAGGAACCUGUUCUAUAAUUGAUAGUCCACGAUUUUAUGUACUUAUAUUAUUAGUUUGUAUAUCGUCGUAGUUGAAUAUUUUAAUAGAAUAAUAAUAUUCAAAAAUUUUUAUAAAAAAAUAAAUCAGAUCAAGGUACAGCUUAUAUAUAAGAAGAGAUGGGUUACAAUAAUUUUAAUUUUGGUUAAUUAAUUUUAAAUUAAUUAUAAAUUGGAUUUAAUAGUAAUAUUGUUUAAUUUAAUAAUAUGAUUUAGGCUCUAAAAUAUGCACAUAUUGCCCGUCAUUCUCAUUUAAGGUGAGACAAGUCGUAACAAAGUAGGUGUACUGGAAAGUGUAUCUAGAAUGGC
Molecule: non-coding RNA, 749 nt
Filed under: Staphylinoidea sp. 12 KM-2017
Lineage: Eukaryota; Metazoa; Arthropoda; Insecta; Coleoptera
Source: RNAcentral